Molecule: ribosomal RNA, 672 nt
Filed under: Musa laterita
Lineage: Eukaryota; Viridiplantae; Streptophyta; Magnoliopsida; Zingiberales; Musaceae
Description: eukaryotic LSU rRNA
Rfam family: 5.8S ribosomal RNA (bases 243-398)
Source: RNAcentral
GUAGGUGAACCUGCGGAAGGAUCAUUGUCGAGACCCACUGACGAGGACGACCGUGAAUGCGUCAACGAUUGCUCGUCGGGCUCGUCCCGACAACACCCCGAAUGUCGGUUCGCCCUCGGGCGGGACGAUCGAGGGGAUGAACUUCAACCCCGGCGCGGAUAGCGCCAAGGAACACGAACAUCGAAGUCGGAGGGCCUCGCUGCAUGCAGGAGGCUACAAUUCCGACGGUGACCCCAUUGGACGACUCUCGGCAACGGAUAUCUCGGCUCUCGCAUCGAUGAAGAACGUAGCGAAAUGCGAUACCUGGUGUGAAUUGCAGAAUCCCGUGAACCAUCGAGUCUUUGAACGCAAGUUGCGCCCGAGGCCAUCCGGCUAAGGGCACGCCUGCCUGGGCGUCACGCUUUCGACGCUUCGUCGUUGCCCCCUCGGGGGGUGGGGGCGAACGCGGAGGAUGGCCCCCCGUGUCGGAAGGUGCGGUUGGCCGAAGAGCGGGCCGUCAGUGGUUGUCGAACACGACGCGUGGUGGAUGCCUUGUGCGAGCCGUACGUCGUGCCUUCGGGACCCGGGCGAGGCCUCGAGGACCCAAGUCGUGGUGCGAGUCGAUGCCACGGACCGCGACCCCAGGUCAGGUGGGGCUACCCGCUGAGUUUAAGCAUAUCAAUAAGCGGAGGA